AUUGAACGCUGGCGGCAGGCCUAACACAUGCAAGUCGAGCGGUAGAGAGAAGCUUGCUUCUCUUGAGAGCGGCGGACGGGUGAGUAAUGCCUAGGAAUCUGCCUGGUAGUGGGGGAUAACGUUCGGAAACGAACGCUAAUACCGCAUACGUCCUACGGGAGAAAGCAGGGGACCUUCGGGCCUUGCGCUAUCAGAUGAGCCUAGGUCGGAUUAGCUAGUUGGUGAGGUAAUGGCUCACCAAGGCGACGAUCCGUAACUGGUCUGAGAGGAUGAUCAGUCACACUGGAACUGAGACACGGUCCAGACUCCUACGGGAGGCAGCAGUGGGGAAUAUUGGACAAUGGGCGAAAGCCUGAUCCAGCCAUGCCGCGUGUGUGAAGAAGGUCUUCGGAUUGUAAAGCACUUUAAGUUGGGAGGAAGGGCAGUUACCUAAUACGUAUCUGUUUUGACGUUACCGACAGAAUAAGCACCGGCUAACUCUGUG
Molecule: ribosomal RNA, 484 nt
Filed under: uncultured Pseudomonas sp.
Lineage: Bacteria; Pseudomonadati; Pseudomonadota; Gammaproteobacteria; Pseudomonadales; Pseudomonadaceae
Description: bacterial SSU rRNA
Rfam family: Bacterial small subunit ribosomal RNA
Source: RNAcentral